GUGUUUCUGUAGCACAUGUACUAAAAUUGGAACGAUACAGAGAUUAGCAUGGCUCCUAUGUAUGACAUGCAAAUUCACAAAAUGUUUCAUAUUUUA
RNAcentral lists this small nuclear RNA (96 nucleotides) under Aotus nancymaae (Ma's night monkey). Lineage: Eukaryota; Metazoa; Chordata; Mammalia; Primates; Aotidae. The record is from RNAcentral.